ACUGAAGCCAUUAUGUAGUGAGAAAUAUCUGAGAGUAGAAGUCCUGUGAAGUUGUAACUUGUCCAGAUUGCUACACUUCAAAAGGAUGGGCAGGAAGAAAAGGUGUCAUGAAAAAUGCUUCACCUACUGAUACUGCAAAGCACUGCAGCACUUAAAUCAGCCAGUGAGGUGUGAAGAUGUCAAGCAUGGACCGAACAGCAGACCCACUACAUUGGCUGUGAUUCAAGAUGGCAGAAUGGGAAGGAUGAUUUUUACUUCUCUGUUCCAUUAAGGUGAAUAUCUUGUGGGUGUAAGUAUAUCUGCACAGUGUUCCUGGGAGAUUUGUGAAGGAGUUUAACCUGAUACAGAAGACUAUUAAAAUGUUCUAAACAAAACGAGACCAGUCCCUGAGUUACAAGAUGGGACAUGGAGGAGUGACACCACUGUGUCUGCAGAAGAGUGGGUGAGCGUGGUACUGCCUGCAAAGCAGUGGGAAGAUCAAACAGCCAGCUGCUCAACAUUGGUCACCGCCUUCAGAGAACGAUGAACACAUCAGCGUGGCUGAACGCUGCUGUAGAUCACCCAGCACACACAGAGGUCUUAAUGGAGCAGAACAAUAAUGUUAGUCUUCAGCAGCCAUGGAAAAUAACAAAGAUCACAAAACCAGUCUCAAGGCGACACAGCUCUCACAGAAGCAAUGACUCCAAUCUACCUUUCCACCAACUGGGAGCAAACCUCAUCAAUAGGGCUGGUGAGUACAGGCUGUCACCCAGGGAGAGUCCCCAUAGCUGGAGGAUUCCCCCCUCAGGAUGGAUGGUCGUAGCCAAAAGGUUGUUGUCAUUGGCUCUGUGUCCAGGUGGUAUCUGGUCACAAAUACGAGGAUACGCUGAGGUUCACUACAGCCGGUUGCACUGGUAGGAGGCCAGAUGGGUCUUGAAUAUCCCCAGAGUAGGAGACUCCACAACUUGUCUAUGCAGCCUGUUCCAGUGCUCUGGUACUCUCAUGGUAAAGUUCUUCCGUGAAGAUCAGAAGAUAGAGUGGUUGCAUCACCAAGGUUCAAAGAUAAGUGUUGCUCUCUGCACCUCCAUGUUAGGCUUGGAAGAGUAUGUGUUGGUGCUCCUGCAAAUGUUGCAUGUAGAUAGAACUGGAGGCCAGAAGCCCCUAGAAUCUUGUGUGGUCUUGUGAUAUGGACUUAACACAGACAAUAUUAAUAAACAGCAGUACAUACAGGGAUGUUUCCCUGGCCUAUUUAAAAAAAAAAAAAAAAGAAAGAAAAAAGAAAAUAAAAUACACAAACUAGUAUUUCUCUCCACUGCCAUCUAGUGAAGUUACCACACAGCAUAAAUAAAGGCUUCAACACUCUGAACUAAACUUUAAAACAGCUAACCUUACCUUAGUGGUAUAUGAGACUUUGUGCAGGAAACAGAGUUUGAGUGUAAUGUGGGUAAUAUCCUUAGGAUAAUAGCAAAUGGCACAAAAUAAACUAGGUAGUUUAAGUCUAAUCAUAGAAUUCUAACAAUUAUUAUGACUAUAAAAAUACUCAAAAGGGUUUUGAAUAAAGCAGGGACCAAAUGUCUGCAGGCUGGGUGUGAUUUAAAUUCAGGAUAUUAUUUUAUUAUUAUUAUUAUUAUUUUUGCAGAAAGAAAACAGUUUUCCAGGGGAUGAAAACAAAAGGUGGAUGUUGGUGAUAUGUCAGCAGAUGCUGAACCUUCUCAUCAAUAUUCCAUUGCAUUUUGCUGCCGUGUGACCGAUGGAAGAAGAGAAGUGGUCUGACAGAAUGGCAUCUGAUUUGGAAGCGCAUAUGAAGAAAAGGUGUGUCACUGAAUUUCUCCACAUGAAAAAAAAAUGGCACUCAUUGGCAUUCACUGAUGCUUGGGAAUACUGUUGGAGACCAAACAAUAGAUAUGAACACACUGAGGUGAUGGGUUGUGCAUUUCAGUAGUGGUGACAGUGAUGUGGAAGACAAGCUAUGUUCUGGACAUCCAUGCACAUCUGUCACACAACAAAAUCAAGAGUAUCUCUAUCAACUCAUCUGUGCAAACUCAUGGAUAAUAACCAGUGAACUGUACAGAGCUGAAUAUUGACUUCAAUGCAUUGGAAACUAUAGCAGCAACACUGGAAUACUGUGAAGUUUGCACCAGGCGGUUCCCACAAAUGCUCACACAAGAACAGAAAGAACACUGUACAUAAGUUUGUCAGGAUUUACAGAACCAGUGUGAGACUGAAGGUGGCAGUUUCCUGGAUCUCAUCACUACUGAUGAUGAGAUGUGGAGUCAGCAGUAUGAGCCAGAGUCAAAACAGCAAGUGGCAACACGUGAGUUCUCAAUUGAAGAAAAAGCUCAAGAUGCAUCCCCUCAGUAGGUAAAGUGAUAUGCACUGUCUUUUGGGAUAGGAAAGAGGUGAUCCUUCUGGAUUUCCUGGAAUCUGGACAAACCAUCAACUCUGACCAUUACAUUGCAAUGCUUACUAAACUUAAGGCUCAAACUUUCAGUCAGGCUGGAGAAGAAGACAACCUUUCUCUUGCAACAUGAGAACACCAGGCCUCAUACCAGUUUGAAGACCAAAUGAGUGUUUUUGCAGAAGGCACAGAGAUUUUGCUAAUGAAGACACAUUCCUUUGAUGUCAGUCCUCACAAGGAAAAAACUUCAUAAACCCGUUGGUAGUUCUUGUCAUUUCUUAGGGUCUUUUGGCUUGGGGCCAAACAAUUGAUAUAGUAGAGAGCUUCCAGCUAAAAUAACAGCCUCUGCAUCUUUAUUUUCACAUAAAUCAGAUUGUUGAUGGAAGAUAGGGCUAAUUUGUCACUCUGCCCACUUGGAAAAGCUUGAUUAAUAGCUUAAUUAGACUUUUUUUUUUUUUAAUUAAGAAAUCAUAUUUCUUGAGAACUAGAGGCUGGGAAAACAACAGUAAGGACUGAAUUAGAGAAGGAAAAUAUUGUUUCUUCUGUAAAGAUCAGAGGAGAUGUUAUGCAAGCAUGAGAAGUGGAAAGAGUACAGUCAGUUGGAAGGAGUUUCAAGGAAAAACAAAACAAAAAAUAACAAACAAGUGUUCUGCAAGCAGUGCAGUUACCUGGAGACUGUGUGCUGAUGGUGUCUCUGUAGAAACAUCAACCCACAAAGUACCAGUUUGAAUAUGUUGUUCCCCAAAUCAGACUGUAAUUAAGCCUGUGUAUCAAAACCUCAAAAAUGAACACAACACCAUUUUAAUUCAAAGACCAUCUAAAUAUACUAGAUUCCAGUUGCUUACCCAGUUGCUCUCAGACUCGUUAAUGUGAGUGGGAAACACAGUGAACUUGACUGAAUAUUAAACCACGAGCAAGAGCACAAAGCAGAGGAUGUACUGAGAAGCAGGCGAUGUACAAAAGCCAUGUGAAAGUAGUGUGAAGAUGCAGUCCUGCCCUAGCAUCCAGCCCAGGGACAAGUGGUGUGGUAGCUGCGUUCCUGCUGGGAUGUGCCGCUGGACAGCAUGAUUCCCUGUGCUGGCCCCACAAACGCAUUCCUGCUGCUCUGCCAGCCAGCUGUGGGCACAGGGCCCAGGCUGUGAUUUGUGGCAAGGAGAUUUUGCUUUGACAGCCCAAUGUCACUUUGUUUUUACAUAAUCAGCCCUUUUUGUUAUGAUCUGCUGGCUUCGGAUAACAGCAGCGAAAAACGUUUCCAAGUGGAAGUGGCACUCUGGGUAAGGACCAAGACAGAAUACAUUCAAAGAAACCAAAUAUUUCUUGCUUUUUGUAAUCACCUGCAAUAAAGUGCUGCAAGUGUUUGCUGAUAGCAUGCUCUGCAGGCAGGAUGGAGUGACAGAGAAUGGGGAGAGGGUUCUGUUGUGCUUUAAACAAGCCUCUGGUUCAAAGACAGAUCUGCCAGCAGCAGAAAGUGAGAUAAAUAUCCACAGCCUGAAGGACUGGAGGGGAAUUCACACAGUCCUGCACCAGGCUUUGUUCAGAGAAACUCUCCAUCUGAAUGAACAGCAGGAGCAGGAGCAGGAGAGAUCUCAGAGCUGGGAAAACAACAGAGCUGAAGACAACACAAACUUAACGUAACAGACAUUGGAAUAACGCACCAUACUUGGGAACAGGCAGACAGAGAAGUUUCUGAGGUGUUUUUCUAAAUGUCUUCAAAAUAUUGAACACAAAUUACACCAGUGAGAGAUCUUAGCUAUAAAAGCAAAUGGGGCUGCUUUAUGUACUAGGAGAAGCAACCAAAAUAAUAAGAAAAUAAGAGUACUCUAGAUGAAAGACUGAGUGCCAUGACAUACUGUGUUGAGGGCAAUAACAGAGCUGACACAUCCUACAGAGGCAGCCAGAGGGGCAUCACUUUCCAGUCCUCAGCUCAUACAGGAGAUUUUUAUAUUUUUCUCUAUGCUCCUUUUGCUCAGAGAGAAUGGAAUCUGGAGUCCAAAGAAUGACAGCCAACCCACCCUAGUGCAUACUUGAACAGCUCUUCCAAGAGAAAAACAUUUACUCAAGUUUGCCAGACAGUGAAAGAAUCACUUAUUGUCUGCCUUGAACCCUUUCCUACACUACCAUCACUUUUUUUUCCGAUCAUUUCCAAAAUAUCUUUAUUCUCUUCUGCAGUCAAUACCCAAAAAGCUUUGAGCAAGUUGGACAAAAUUUGGCCACACAAGGAAUACCAAAAUGAGAACCAGUGGGGUGAUAUGGCUGCAGUCUCUGCUACUGGAUCCACAAUCAGCUGAACCACUUCUACCUUCUUGUCCUGUACAUGCAGUGUAAUUGGCCUGGUUGCUCCAAGAAAAGGCAGCAGCACCGAAUUACUGCAUUGUAUAAAGGUGCUUAUAGCAUGGCAUAAGCAUGCUUAUGCUCACUUUUUUUUCUAGUGUAGGUUUCAAGUAAGCCAUUUGCUCAAAUAGGUCUAUUAACUUUAAAGUGCCUAAGGCUAAAACUGUAUUAUGGGAGGCAAGCUUUGGGGGAUGCAGCCCAAAACAUCUGAGAAGGGCUUCUGGAGUCCUCUGCCACUGACUGAUUUUUGAGCAUCACUGGUGGGAAAGUAAUUAAGUAAGUAAAAGCAAGCAGCAUACCCUCAUCUGACUGAGCAGCAUGUUACUUUGAAUGCACAGACCCACCUAAUUUCUUGGGCUUGUUAGAAGAGCUCUUGGUUUCAGCCAAUAUGAAACCAGAAUACAACCCACUCCUUCCUCUUCUAUUAACUUUGAAUAGUCACAUUUUGCCAAGUCUCUGCUGGGGCAUCAGGGGAUCAGAUGCCCUGAAAGCUACUGUGGGACCAUGUCUCUGCAUGGCACUGGAUUCUUUUAUGCCUAACAGCAAUUCUCAGCCCAGCAGGGAUAGUUAAUCAAGCAAACAGUUUUAGCAGACCCCUAAGUGCAGCCCAUAAUUACCUAUACCUGUUUCAGAUGAGCUCCCUCCAGCUAAGGAAUAAUACUGUGUUCUAGUUGCAAAUAAAAGUUUGACCUUAUCUGGAAUAAAAAAUGAACAUCUUCAGAAAACACCAAUGAAGAAAAAAAGAAAAUGAUUUGAAAAGAACAGAAUUAAAUUAAUGGAAAUAAAAUUUUGGGUAACUGCUGGAAGUAAAAUAAUAUCUUAGCAAUAUGUACUAAACUGUGGCAAAACCUCCUAAGGAAAGUGAAUGAUGGAGUUCCAGGGUCUGAAGAAUCACAGUUGCUUCAGGCAAAGCUUCAGGAAAGACAUGACUGGGGAACAGCAUGGGCUGGCUGUAGAAGUGCAGGGACAGAACAUGGCCAAGAAUUUUUGCUCAGACGUUUGCAAUGAUGCAAGUACACUGUACAUGGAAAUGCACAUGGAACAUACAGCUGACCUGUUUUAAAAGCUGUGCAUAUUUUUAUUUAAACUAAUGGGAAUUUUACAGCUUAAAAUAACAUUAAGCCGUCAGGGGACACCAGUGAAUCUGGCUGAUUUUUUCUGUCUCAUCUCCAGAAAACAACCCCUUAACAGCUCUUCAAACAUACAGAUAUGAUUUUGACAUUUCUGUAAGUUAGAACAUGAUUAUUACAAGAUAUCUCUCAUUUGAAAUCCUGUUUAAAAGAAAAAGAAAGCAGUCUUCUCUAGUUUUACAGUUAUUUCUAAUAUCUAGUUCUAUUAGGUAGAGACAGGAAAUGAGACAAAAAUGCAAAACAUUUAUCACUUUCUUUCUGGUGGGCAAUGAGAAAGUAUUUUCUGAUCUGCAGUUGUCUGGGGAAUCCCUUUUCCAGUAGAGAUUUUGAGCACAAUAUUAUCACAAGUUAUAGGCUGAUCUGGGAAAGCAUAGCAGUUCUGUCAAUUGGGAACAGCUCCCUCUCCAGCCUGCCAUCCAUUACCCGGCAAUGCCUGUCCACUGCUUUUCAUGCCAGAGAGCUGUUUGAGUGACAACUGAAAUAAUAACAUCUGUGCCAAGGUCAGGAUGUGAUGCGCCAUUCCCUAUGGAGCCUGACACGUGUUGUUUUCUGACAGCCAUCUGAAAGAACUGAAGACACUAUGAAAGGCUACAGUUUUUAAUUAAAAAUCAUAAUGGUCCCUUGCUAUACUGUGAUACAAAAUGGACUUGCAAACUUUCACUGCAAUAUUCCUUGGACCAUACAAAAUACUGUACUGUAUUGAUGUCUGUUGAAAUUCAAGGACUGUGAUGAGUGAAAAUCCAUUGAACCUGUUUCAUAUGACAUUCAGACACUCAACUCCAUGUACAGUGAGAAGCAGUGGAGAACUGAGGGCUGUGUCCUAGUGGAGCAAGUGCUGGAACAAGAAGCACGGUGUCGUCUUCCCUGGAGAGCUUCUUCCCAGGCCUGUGGAAAACACCUGUUGAAGAGAAUCAAAGCAACACUGUGGCAAAACAUGGAAUCAAGUGAUAGGACAUCCCUGCUAUGCAAACUGUGUUCAUCAGAUAUCUGGUCCAAUAAAAUUUCUUGGAUGCAAUGUAAA
This is a non-coding RNA of Coturnix japonica (Japanese quail), 6859 nucleotides long. The record is from RefSeq and is a predicted model, not a curated record. Lineage: Eukaryota; Metazoa; Chordata; Aves; Galliformes; Phasianidae.